RNAcentral lists this ribosomal RNA (710 nucleotides) under uncultured bacterium. Its description in RNAcentral is "bacterial SSU rRNA". It matches the Rfam family "Bacterial small subunit ribosomal RNA", at positions 94 to 823 of the family's 1533-position model. The record is from RNAcentral.
AGCGGCGGACGGGUGAGUAUGGCAGGGGUAGCCUGCCCUAUACACACGGAUAACAUACCGAAAGGUAUGCUAAUACGAGAUAAUGUAAGAGAUUCGCAUGGAUUUCUUAUCAAAGCUGAGGCGGUAUAGGAUGGACCCGCGUCUGAUUAGCUAGUUGGUAAGGUAACGGCUUACCAAGGCGACGAUCAGUAGCCGACCUGAGAGGGUGAUCGGCCACAUUGGAACUGAGACACGGUCCAAACUCCUACGGGAGGCAGCAGUGGGGAAUAUUGCACAAUGGGCGAAAGCCUGAUGCAGCAACGCCGCGUGAGUGAUGAAGGCCUUCGGGUCGUAAAACUCUGUCCUCAAGGAAGAUAAUGACGGUACUUGAGGAGGAAGCCCCGGCUAACUACGUGCCAGCAGCCGCGGUAAUACGUAGGGGGCUAGCGUUAUCCGGAUUUACUGGGCGUAAAGGGUGCGUAGGUGGUCUCUUAAGUCAGGAGUGAAAGGCUACGGCUUAACCGUAGUAAGCUCUUGAAACUGGGAGACUUGAGUGCAGGAGAGGAAAGUGGAAUUCCUAGUGUAGCGGUGAAAUGCGUAGAUAUUAGGAGGAACACCAGUAGCGAAGGCGGCUUUCUGGACUGUAACUGACACUGAGGCACGAAAGCGUGGGGAGCAAACAGGAUUAGAUACCCUGGUAGUCCACGCCGUAAACGAUGAGUACUAGGUGU